UACGAAGGGGGCAAGCGUUAUCCGGAAUUACUGGGUGUAAAGGUCGCGUAGGCGGUUAUUUAAGUUAGAUGUGAAAUCCCAAGGCUCAACUUUGGAACUGCAUCUAAAACUGGGUAACUAGAGUGUGGGAGAGGAAAGCGGAAUUCUCAGUGUAGCGGUGAAAUGCGUAGAUAUUGAGAGGAACACCGGUGGCGAAGGCGGCUUUCUGGACCAUAACUGACGCUGAGGCGCGAAAGCGUGGGGAGCAAACAGG
Molecule: ribosomal RNA, 253 nt
Filed under: uncultured bacterium
Lineage: Bacteria
Description: partial 16S ribosomal RNA
Rfam family: Bacterial small subunit ribosomal RNA
Source: RNAcentral